RNAcentral lists this long non-coding RNA (281 nucleotides) under Mytilus galloprovincialis (Mediterranean mussel). The record is from RNAcentral. Lineage: Eukaryota; Metazoa; Mollusca; Bivalvia; Mytilida; Mytilidae.
GAAAAAUUAUGGAUGCAUCAUUUCAGAAAUUUUAAGUAUACUGAAUUGUUCAUGACUUUUGACCAACUUUUUUUGUAAGAUUUUUUUGUGAAAUGGAUCACUGAUUCCCAGGUCUUAUUGAAAGCAUUUUUUUUUUAAAUUCAUUUUUCAAAAGGUAGGGUCUUAUCAAGGUACUAGAGUGUCCUGAUAGGGUAGGAGUUCUUCCAAUAUAAGAUAUCAGCACAUCAUUUUUCAUUCCGUCUCAAGACAUAUUGUAUAUUUAUCAUAGCUACUAAGAGACA